This 262-nucleotide non-coding RNA is filed under the name Jeotgalibaca dankookensis. RNAcentral describes it as "T-box sequence". It matches the Rfam family "T-box leader". From Rfam's summary of the family: Uncharged tRNA acts as the effector for transcription antitermination of genes in the T-box leader family. T-boxes are found upstream of many aminoacyl-tRNA synthetase genes and some amino acid biosynthetic genes usually in Gram-positive bacteria. The anticodon of a specific tRNA base pairs to a specifier sequence within the T-box motif, and the NCCA acceptor tail of the tRNA base pairs to a conserved bulge in the T-box antiterminator hairpin. The record is from RNAcentral. Lineage: Bacteria; Bacillati; Bacillota; Bacilli; Lactobacillales; Carnobacteriaceae.
AAAAACACGUUGAAGAGAAGAGUAUAUCAAGAAGUCCUUCCAUAGAGAGCUUGGUCAGGUGAAAGCAAGCAAGGAAAGAAUGAUAGAAGAUGGUCUCAGAGUGGCUUGUCCGAAUGCAUAGCUUUAGGUCAAGACGGGAACGCCCGUUAUAGUGUCACAGUAUCUAUCUCGUUUUAUAGAGGGUACUGGCUAAGGUACAAGGAGCAAUCCUUUUACAAACAAAGGUGGUAACACGAGAUUAAACUUUACUCUCGUCCUUUCU